This is a long non-coding RNA of Gossypium raimondii (Peruvian cotton), 1281 nucleotides long. RefSeq lists it as uncharacterized. The transcript is spliced from 3 exons. NCBI's taxonomy places the organism in Eukaryota, Viridiplantae, Streptophyta, Magnoliopsida, Malvales, Malvaceae. The record is from RefSeq and is a predicted model, not a curated record.
CUUUAGAGGAAAAAUUAGGGCAUCAGAGGGUGUGGCCGAAUGUGCAAAAAGGCAAGGGUGAUGGUGAUGGUAAUGGUGAGGGUGGAGUUUGAAUCAAACAAGAUUGGACAAGGAAAACAUUUUCUUACCUUCUUUUUUUCACAAAUAUCACAAUAAAACAUGGAUGAAACUAUCGAUUGAUGAUAGAGUUCUAUUAUUGUGAUAUUAGUGAAAAACAAAAGGUACAGAUAUGAGGCCGACGGCGAUGACCAGAUUCUGACGGAAAUACACUCACCGUCUGCUGCGUGCUUCUUUAUUAUCUUUGCCUCUAUUUAUUUAUUUUUACUGUUGAUUUUAUUAGUGCCAUUUCAAUUAUUGGGGGGUGGAUUUUUAUCAUUAGUGGCGGAAAAUAGUGAUUUGAUUCAUUACACUGUGUUGGCUGAAUCUUAUUAUCAGUGGAAGAUUGAUGGCUAUGGCGACAAUAGAUCUGAUGCCAUUAACUUUGGAUCUAUCGGAGAUUGGACUGAAUGCUGAUUCUAAGGUUUUCGUUUUUUUCGUUGUAAGGUUGAUUGUGUUUGCUCUGUAAGCUUCUAAUUUUGUGAUGUUCGAAGCAGACAUUGGUUAGGACUGGUGUUGUAUGCCUACUGAUAUGCUUUGUUUUAUGGCGUGUUAGAAGCUUUUAGAAACCAACCUAUUUAAGUGUAUAUAAUAUGAAUAAUAUAUAAGGGUUUAAGCUUGCUUGUGGUUCUUCAGCUUCGUCACCAACUGUUAUUGUACCUCAAGGAAGGACUUCUCUACUGCAACCCUUUACUUUCAACUCAAUGAUAUUAGUUUCCAUAUUGAUGGGAAAAUCAUAGCCCCAAACAAACCUUCUGCAUGGGAAUGCAAAAGGAAUUGUCACCAUCAAUGACCAGGGAGAUAAGUGGUGAAACUUUCUUGCAAACAUAAGGAAAAGACAUCAGCUGUGAAGAUCAGUAGUAUAGCUUAUCAAGAUAUCAAUAGGGAACAUCAUAUAGUGAAAUAGCAGUACAGUUAUAUCCAUACUAUUUGGUGUGAAAGGAAUGAGAGGCUUUUUUGGGAAGACUCCUACCAUGGCAGAUACACUGGUUUUGAAGAUUAAAGAAACAGUUAAGAUUAGACUGAUGGGUAAAUGUGUUAAUAUGAGGGAUACUGUAUUUUGAAUCAUUGUGGUUAGGUUGAAUUUGUAUAGCAUUUGACUUUGUUUUGUUGUUCUUUUGUAGCAACUUUUGCUGCUUCUUGGGUAAUAAAAUAGCAAAGUUUUCAUUUUUUUUGGAUGAAAAA